CUAAGGCCCCUAAUUCGUGGCUAAGUGGGAAAGCAUGUGGGACGGCCAAAACAACCAGGAGGUUGGCUUAGAAGCAGCCAUCCUUUAAAGAAAGCGUAAUAGCUCACUGGUCUAAUAGCUGUUCUGCGGCGAAAAUGUAACGGGGCUCAAGCCACGAGCCGAAGACGUGGGUUGCGAUGAUCCUAGCGGAUCUUGCAGCGGUAGCGGAGCGUUCCCUAGGCCUGUGAAGGGAUACCCGUGAGGGGUCCUGGAGGUAUGGGAAGUGCGAAUGCGGACAUGAGUAGCGACAAAGAGGGUGAGAACCCCUCUCGCCGAAAGUCCAAGGGUUCCUGCGCAAGGCCAAUCCGCGCAGGGUGAGCCGGCCCCUAAGGCGAGGGCGACAGCCGUAGCCGAUGGAAACAGGGUGAAUAUUCCCUGGCCCCCCAGAUGUGACGACCCUGAAGCGCGGUUCCCUCUUAUUGGAUUGAGGGGGCAGGUGGAUGGGUCCAGGAAACAGCACUGGGAUUAUGGACCGUACCCUAAACCGACACAGGUGGACUGGUUGAGUAUACCGAGGCGCUUGAGAGAACCAUGCUGAAGGAACUAGGCAAAUUGCUCGCGUAACUUCGGGAUAAGCGAGACCCCAUGGCACGCAAGUGUUGUGGGGUGGCACAGACCAGGGGGUGGCGACUGUUUAGUAAAAACACAGGGCUCUGCGAAAUCGAGAGAUGACGUAUAGGGUCUGACGCCUGCCCGGUGCCGGAAGGUUAAAGGGAGAUGUGAAAGCAUUGAACUGAAGCCCCGGUAAACGGCGGCCGUAACUAUAACGGUCCUAAGGUAGCGAAAUUCCUUGUCGGGUAAGUUCCGACCUGCACGAAUGGCGUAACGACCUCCCCACUGUCUCCAGCAUGGACUCAGCGAAAUUGAAUUCCCCGUGAAGAUGCGGGGUACCCGUGGUCAGACGGAAAGACCCUAUGAACCUUUACUGCAGCUUGGCAGUGGCGCCAGGAAGGGACUGUGUAGGAUAGGUGGGAGCCGAUGAAGCCGGGGCGCUAGCCUUGGUGGAGGCAACCUUGAAAUACCACCCUGUGCCUUUCUGGCGUCUAACCGAGACCCGUUAGCCGGGUCCGGGACCCUGUCUGGUGGGCAGUUUGACUGGGGCGGUCGCCUCCCAAAGUGUAACGGAGGCGCGCGAUGGUGGGCUCAGGCCGGUCGGACAUCGGCUGUUGAGUGCAAAGGCACAAGCCCGCCUGACUGUGAGCGCGACAGCGCGAACAGAGACGAAAGUCGGCCUUAGUGAUCCGGUGGUCCCGCGUGGAAGGGCCA
This 1305-nucleotide ribosomal RNA is filed under the name Cytophagaceae bacterium. RNAcentral describes it as "partial 23S ribosomal RNA". It matches the Rfam family "Bacterial large subunit ribosomal RNA", at positions 1039 to 2444 of the family's 2925-position model. The record is from RNAcentral. Lineage: Bacteria; Pseudomonadati; Bacteroidota; Cytophagia; Cytophagales; Cytophagaceae.